GAUGAACGCUGGCGGCGUGCCUAAUACAUGCCAGUCGAGCGAACAGAUGAGGAGCUUGCUCCUCUGACGUUAGCGGCGGACGGGUGAGUAACACGUGGAUAACCUACCUAUAAGACUGGGAUAACUUCGGGAAACCGGAGCUAAUACCGGAUAAUAUAUUGAACCGCAUGGUUCAAUAGAGAAAGACGGUUUUGCUGUCACUUAUAGAUGGAUCCGCGCCGCAUUAGCUAGUUGGUAAGGUAACGGCUUACCAAGGCAACGAUGCGUAGCCGACAGGAGAGGAGGAGGGGCCAACUGGGAACGGAGACACGGCAAGGACCCAUGAGGGAGGCAGAAGGGGGGAAUAUUGCGCAAGGGGCGAAAGCCGGAGGGACAAACCCGGGGGGAGGGAAGAAGGUGUGAGGACGUAAAAACUUUUUUAUGGGGAAAAAAAAAAUGGAUAAGAACCAAUCCACGUCUGGAGGGUACCUAAUAAAAAAGCAACGGAAAACCCGGGC
This 497-nucleotide ribosomal RNA is filed under the name uncultured bacterium. Its description in RNAcentral is "partial 16S ribosomal RNA". It matches the Rfam family "Bacterial small subunit ribosomal RNA", at positions 28 to 508 of the family's 1533-position model. The record is from RNAcentral.